GGUUCUAUGGUGUAAUGGUUAGCACUUCAGACUUUGACUCUGACAAUCUGAGUUCAAAUCUCAGUAGGACCU
RNAcentral lists this transfer RNA (72 nucleotides) under Daphnia pulex (common water flea). Its description in RNAcentral is "tRNA-Gln". It matches the Rfam family "tRNA". From Rfam's summary of the family: Transfer RNA (tRNA) molecules are approximately 80 nucleotides in length. Their secondary structure includes four short double-helical elements and three loops (D, anti-codon, and T loops). Lineage: Eukaryota; Metazoa; Arthropoda; Branchiopoda; Diplostraca; Daphniidae. The record is from RNAcentral.